GGAAUCACAAGCGCCCAGGAACGGCAAGGAGAAAGUUUCUUUGGCACCACGGUACCACACGAAGAUUGGGUUUCAGUGUACCAGCGUCCUGUCACCUUUGGGACGAGAGGACUGGUCCAGUUCGUGAGAUAAUAACUGCCGUCAUAUAAAGUAUCAAUCAUCUUACUACCAAAAAAAAAAAAGGUAUCAAUCAUCUUGUGACUUAUGAUAAUAAAUACACUCUUUUCUUUUCUUUUCUUUUUUCCUUUUUAAGCUUGGAUCUCUCCGAUUUGGGACUAAAGGAGAGGGAACGAUUUCAUACAAUAUUACAGGUUAGAGUCUUCAAUCCAAACCUAAAAUUACAGCUCAAGUAUUCAUAUAUGCCAUUACAGAUGUAAUGAAAUCCAUAUGGUAAAUAAGACCAAAUUAUGAUACUAUGAAGCUCGGAUGAUCACAAGCAUUGCAUGAAAUACAAAGAGCUAUGAUAUUCGUAUAUGCCAUAAUAGUCGUUAUAGUCGUGAUUGCAUGAAAUUGAUAUGGUAAAUAAGACCACAUUAUAUGAUAUGAUGGAGCUUGCAAAAUCUCAACCAUCCAUGAUACGUAGAGAGCCAUGAUUGCAAGACUAGAGCUCUCCAAUACACAAUGUAGAGGCCUCCUUCAAAACUUGCCAUUCAUUGUCCAUCUCAUCCAAUCUGUCCAACCAAUCAGACAACUUCGUCAUGCAUGGCUCCACACUGGACCAAAGCAUCAGCAUUAUGCAAGAAACACCUUGACUUGAAUCUGAAUUGAUGACCUGGGAAAUCUAGGCAUAUCUUAUGCAAAGGAUGCAAUAUGCCUUUGCCCUAC
RNAcentral lists this long non-coding RNA (825 nucleotides) under Elaeis guineensis (African oil palm). Its description in RNAcentral is "long non-coding RNA (EGUI_LNC013420)". The record is from RNAcentral. Lineage: Eukaryota; Viridiplantae; Streptophyta; Magnoliopsida; Arecales; Arecaceae.